RNAcentral lists this long non-coding RNA (249 nucleotides) under Homo sapiens (human). RNAcentral's name for it is "HSALNT0133405". The record is from RNAcentral. Lineage: Eukaryota; Metazoa; Chordata; Mammalia; Primates; Hominidae.
GCAACUUCGAAAGGCGAUGUUGGAAAAAGACGGAUUUUUAAUUAAAUGAAGCCAAGUGGGAUUUGCAUAAAGUGAAUGUUUACCAUGAAGAUAAACUGUUCCUGACUUUAUACUAUUUUGAAUUCAUUCAUUUCAUUGUGAUCAGCUAGCUUAUUCUUGUGUACUUUUUUUAAACUGUGGGUUUUCCUAGUAAAUUUAAUUUACAGAAAUCAAUGGUAGCAUUUAGUAAUCUACAAAGGAAAUAUCAAA